Molecule: ribosomal RNA, 432 nt
Filed under: Angiostrongylus cantonensis (rat lungworm)
Lineage: Eukaryota; Metazoa; Nematoda; Chromadorea; Rhabditida; Metastrongylidae
Description: SSU rRNA
Rfam family: Eukaryotic small subunit ribosomal RNA
Source: RNAcentral
CAAACAUUCCGCCUGUACUCAUCUGUCUGCAGCCGCGGUAAUUCCAGCUCCACUAGUGUAAAUCGUCAUUGCUGCGGUUAAAAAGCUCGUAGUUGGAUCUGAGUUGCAUGCAAUGAUUCGCCUUUGGCGUUAAUCAUUGUUGUGACUAUUUGCUGGUUUUCUAUUGAAAUUUCGAUUUCUUUAGUGGCUAGCGAGUUUACUUUGAAUAAAUUAAAGUGCUCAGAACAAGCGUUUGCUUGAAUGGUCGAUCAUGGAAUAAUAAAAGAGGACUUCGGUUCUAUUUAUUGGUUCAGGAACUGAAGUAAUGAUUAAGAGGGACAAUUCGGGGGCAUUCGUAUCCCUGCGCGAGAGGUGAAAUUCGUGGACCGCAGGGGGACGCCCUAAAGCGAAAGCAUUUGCCAAGAAUGUCUUCAUUAAUCAAGAACGAAAGUC